This 75-nucleotide transfer RNA is filed under the name Candidatus Wolfebacteria bacterium. Its description in RNAcentral is "tRNA-Glu". It matches the Rfam family "tRNA". From Rfam's summary of the family: Transfer RNA (tRNA) molecules are approximately 80 nucleotides in length. Their secondary structure includes four short double-helical elements and three loops (D, anti-codon, and T loops). The record is from RNAcentral. Lineage: Bacteria; Candidatus Wolfeibacteriota.
GGCCCUAUCGUCUAGUGGUUAGGACACUAGGUUUUCAUCCUAGAAACAGGAGUUCGAUUCUCCUUAGGGCUGCGA